GGGUUGUGAGGUUAAGCGACUAAGCGUACACGGUGGAUGCCCUGGCAGUCAGAGGCGAUGAAGGACGUGCUAAUCUGCGAUAAGCGUCGGUAAGGUGAUAUGAACCGUUAUAACCGGCGAUUUCCGAAUGGGGAAACCCAGUGUGAUUCGUCACACUAUCAUUAACUGAAUCCAUAGGUUAAUGAGGCGAACCGGGGGAACUGAAACAUCUAAGUACCCCGAGGAAAAGAAAUCAACCGAGAUUCCCCCAGUAGCGGCGAGCGAACGGGGAGCAGCCCAGAGCCUGAAUCAGUGUGUGUGUUAGUGGAAGCGUCUGGAAAGGCGCGCGAUACAGGGUGACAGCCCCGUACACAAAAAUGCACAUACUGUGAGCUCGAUGAGUAGGGCGGGACACGUGGUAUCCUGUCUGAAUAUGGGGGGACCAUCCUCCAAGGCUAAAUACUCCUGACUGACCGAUAGUGAACCAGUACCGUGAGGGAAAGGCGAAAAGAACCCCGGCGAGGGGAGUGAAAAAGAACCUGAAACCGUGUACGUACAAGCAGUGGGAGCACGCUUAGGCGUGUGACUGCGUACCUUUUGUAUAAUGGGUCAGCGACUUAUAUUCUGUAGCAAGGUUAACCGAAUAGGGGAGCCGAAGGGAAACCGAGUCUUAACUGGGCGUUAAGUUGCAGGGUAUAGACCCGAAACCCGGUGAUCUAGCCAUGGGCAGGUUGAAGGUUGGGUAACACUAACUGGAGGACCGAACCGACUAAUGUUGAAAAAUUAGCGGAUGACUUGUGGCUGGGGGUGAAAGGCCAAUCAAACCGGGAGAUAGCUGGUUCUCCCCGAAAGCUAUUUAGGUAGCGCCUCGUGAAUUCAUCUCCGGGGGUAGAGCACUGUUUCGGCAAGGGGGUCAUCCCGACUUACCAACCCGAUGCAAACUGCGAAUACCGGAGAAUGUUAUCACGGGAGACACACGGCGGGUGCUAACGUCCGUCGUGAAGAGGGAAACAACCCAGACCGCCAGCUAAGGUCCCAAAGUCAUGGUUAAGUGGGAAACGAUGUGGGAAGGCCCAGACAGCCAGGAUGUUGGCUUAGAAGCAGCCAUCAUUUAAAGAAAGCGUAAUAGCUCACUGGUCGAGUCGGCCUGCGCGGAAGAUGUAACGGGGCUAAACCAUGCACCGAAGCUGCGGCAGCGACGCUGAUGCGUUGUUGGGUAGGGGAGCGUUCUGUAAGCCUGUGAAGGUGUGCUGUGAGGCAUGCUGGAGGUAUCAGAAGUGCGAAUGCUGACAUAAGUAACGAUAAAGCGGGUGAAAAGCCCGCUCGCCGGAAGACCAAGGGUUCCUGUCCAACGUUAAUCGGGGCAGGGUGAGUCGACCCCUAAGGCGAGGCCGAAAGGCGUAGUCGAUGGGAAACAGGUUAAUAUUCCUGUACUUGGUGUUACUGCGAAGGGGGGACGGAGAAGGCUAUGUUGGCCGGGCGACGGUUGUCCCGGUUUAAGCGUGUAGGCUGGUUUUCCAGGCAAAUCCGGAAAAUCAAGGCUGAGGCGUGAUGACGAGGCACUACGGUGCUGAAGCAACAAAUGCCCUGCUUCCAGGAAAAGCCUCUAAGCAUCAGGUAACAUCAAAUCGUACCCCAAACCGACACAGGUGGUCAGGUAGAGAAUACCAAGGCGCUUGAGAGAACUCGGGUGAAGGAACUAGGCAAAAUGGUGCCGUAACUUCGGGAGAAGGCACGCUGAUAUGUAGGUGAAGUCCCUCGCGGAUGGAGCUGAAAUCAGUCGAAGAUACCAGCUGGCUGCAACUGUUUAUUAAAAACACAGCACUGUGCAAACACGAAAGUGGACGUAUACGGUGUGACGCCUGCCCGGUGCCGGAAGGUUAAUUGAUGGGGUCAGCGCAAGCGAAGCUCUUGAUCGAAGCCCCGGUAAACGGCGGCCGUAACUAUAACGGUCCUAAGGUAGCGAAAUUCCUUGUCGGGUAAGUUCCGACCUGCACGAAUGGCGUAAUGAUGGCCAGGCUGUCUCCACCCGAGACUCAGUGAAAUUGAACUCGCUGUGAAGAUGCAGUGUACCCGCGGCAAGACGGAAAGACCCCGUGAACCUUUACUAUAGCUUGACACUGAACAUUGAGCCUUGAUGUGUAGGAUAGGUGGGAGGCUUUGAAGUGUGGACGCCAGUCUGCAUGGAGCCGGCCUUGAAAUACCACCCUUUAAUGUUUGAUGUUCUAACGUUGACCCGUUAUCCGGGUUGCGGACAGUGUCUGGUGGGUAGUUUGACUGGGGCGGUCUCCUCCUAAAGAGUAACGGAGGAGCACGAAGGUUGGCUAAUCCUGGUCGGACAUCAGGAGGUUAGUGCAAUGGCAUAAGCCAGCUUGACUGCGAGCGUGACGGCGCGAGCAGGUGCGAAAGCAGGUCAUAGUGAUCCGGUGGUUCUGAAUGGAAGGGCCAUCGCUCAACGGAUAAAAGGUACUCCGGGGAUAACAGGCUGAUACCGCCCAAGAGUUCAUAUCGACGGCGGUGUUUGGCACCUCGAUGUCGGCUCAUCACAUCCUGGGGCUGAAGUAGGUCCCAAGGGUAUGGCUGUUCGCCAUUUAAAGUGGUACGCGAGCUGGGUUUAGAACGUCGUGAGACAGUUCGGUCCCUAUCUGCCGUGGGCGCUGGAGAACUGAGGGGGGCUGCUCCUAGUACGAGAGGACCGGAGUGGACGCAUCACUGGUGUUCGGGUUGUCAUGCCAAUGGCACUGCCCGGUAGCUAAAUGCGGAAGAGAUAAGUGCUGAAAGCAUCUAAGCACGAAACUUGCCCCGAGAUGAGUUCUCCCUGACUCCUUGAGAGUCCUGAAGGAACGUUGAAGACGACGACGUUGAUAGGCCGGGUGUGUAAGCGCAGCGAUGCGUUGAGCUAACCGGUACUAAUGAACCGUGAGGCUUAACCUUACAACGCCGAAGGUGUUU
This 2931-nucleotide ribosomal RNA is filed under the name Escherichia coli. RNAcentral's name for it is "23S ribosomal RNA". It matches the Rfam family "Bacterial large subunit ribosomal RNA". The record is from RNAcentral. Lineage: Bacteria; Pseudomonadati; Pseudomonadota; Gammaproteobacteria; Enterobacterales; Enterobacteriaceae.